GUGUGUGUCAGUGUUCACAGUCCAGCCCUCCCUGAGGACCCACAUUUGGCUCGUAUGUGUGUGAGCACGUUGGGGUGCGCAUGAGGUAUCUCCCCAGUCUCUUCCCUUCUGUCACCCGAAUCAAAUGUAAGACGUCCCUCACAUCCUGAUCAUCCCAACUCUGCCUCCCAGGCCCUCUGCUGGGAAACCCAUAUCCGGAGUCCAUGCCCUGCCCCUGCCCCCGGCUGUGUAUUUAUAGAUGGAAAUAUACUUUAUAUUUUGUAUCAUUGUGCCUAUAGCCUCUGCCACCUUGUAUAAACCCUG
RNAcentral lists this long non-coding RNA (303 nucleotides) under Androctonus crassicauda. Lineage: Eukaryota; Metazoa; Arthropoda; Arachnida; Scorpiones; Buthidae. The record is from RNAcentral.